Molecule: unclassified non-coding RNA, 222 nt
Filed under: uncultured fungus
Lineage: Eukaryota; Fungi
Description: sequence contains ITS1
Source: RNAcentral
UUUUUUGUUAUGAUUUUUUGUUACAUUCUUUGACUUUUGGUGUUUAUAAGAAAAAUGAUGACGAGAAGCGGAAUAAAUCCACGACUCUUCAAACAUUUAAAAAGGUGCACAGGGUAGAAAGUGGAGGUCAGGCCUCUCUACGCCAGAACCCCGUUAAGAAGGAACGACGAGAGAGCACCCUAAAAUUCACUAAUGAUCCUUCCGCAGGUUCACCUACGGAAA